RNAcentral lists this ribosomal RNA (565 nucleotides) under Hymenobacter sp. s1r3. RNAcentral describes it as "bacterial SSU rRNA". It matches the Rfam family "Bacterial small subunit ribosomal RNA", at positions 94 to 658 of the family's 1533-position model. The record is from RNAcentral. Lineage: Bacteria; Pseudomonadati; Bacteroidota; Cytophagia; Cytophagales; Hymenobacteraceae.
AGUGGCGCACGGGUGCGUAACGCGUAACCAACCUGCCCUUGACUGGGGGAUAGCCCGCCGAAAGGCGGAUUAAUACCGCAUAAACUCACAGUGUGGCAUCACACAAUGAGUAAAGAUUUAUUGGUCAAGGAUGGGGUUGCGUGACAUUAGCUAGUUGGCGGGGUAACGGCCCACCAAGGCGACGAUGUCUAGGGGACCUGAGAGGGUGAUCCCCCACACUGGCACUGAGAUACGGGCCAGACUCCUACGGGAGGCAGCAGUAGGGAAUAUUGGGCAAUGGGCGAGAGCCUGACCCAGCCAUGCCGCGUGCCGGAUGAAGGCCUUCUGGGUUGUAAACGGCUUUUCUCAGGGAAGAAAAAGGGCAUGCGUGCUCAACUGACGGUACCUGAGGAAUAAGCACCGGCUAACUCCGUGCCAGCAGCCGCGGUAAUACGGAGGGUGCAAGCGUUGUCCGGAUUUAUUGGGUUUAAAGGGUGCGUAGGCGGCCCGUUAAGUCCGGGGUGAAAGCCCACAGCUCAACUGUGGAACUGCCCUGGAUACUGGCGGGCUUGAGUCCAGACGAGGU